UUAUAAAUAGUGUAAAUGGUAUUCCUAAAAAUGAACAUUCAAUCGGCACAUUUAUAUUAGUGAGAGAGAAAUGGCAAAUUGUGAUGGGAGAAGGAAGGAGGUGAUAGGAAUAAUUGGAGGUGGAAUCAGCGGUCUCUUGGCCUGCAAAUAUGCAAUUUCCAAAGGAUUUGAUCCAAUUGUUUUCGAGUCAGAAAGUAGCAUUGGAGGUGUUUGGAGUAAGACUAUUGAGAGCACUAAACUGCAGACACCAAAACCCCUUUACCAAUUCUCUGAUUUUCCAUGGCCUGAUUCUGUAACCGAAGUGUUUCCCGAUCAACACACGGUGUUGGAGUACAUUGAAUCAUACGCACGUCACUUUGAUUUGGUGAGACACAUUCAGUUCAAUAACAAAGUAUUGAGCCUUAGCUAUGAAGAUGAUGGUGGCAAUGGAACCGGUCGAGAAUGGAUGUCUAAUGGCAAAUGGAACGUUACUGUACAACACACUCCAACCCUAUCCAUAAAGGUAUACCAAGUUGAUUAUGUAGUAGUUUGUGUGGGAAAGUUCAGUCAAGUCCCAAACAUACCUGAAUUCCCUCAAAACAAAGGUCCUGAAGCUUUUGAAGGCAAAGUAAUCCAUUCAAUGGAUUAUUCAAAGAUGGACUCCACAACUGCAACCGACUUUGUCAAAGGAAGGAAAACAUGUAGCCGUUGUUGGAUUCCAAAAAUCAGGACUGGACAUUGCCAUGGAGUCCUCCACAGUAAAUGGGGUUGAACGUCCGUGCACCGUAAUAAUCAGGACACCACAUUGGAACGUUCCUGAUUAUUUCCCCUGGGGAUUCCCAAUGGCAAAACUCUAUUUGAAUAGAUUCUCAGAACUUACAGUGCAUAAACCCGGUGAAGGCCUUCUUUUAUAUCUCAUAGCUACAAUUCUCUCACCUCUGAGGUGGGGCUUCUCAAAGUUUGUGGAAAGCUAUAUAAAACACAAGCUCGGGCUUUCAAAGCACGGGAUGGUGCCAGAUCAUAGUUUCUUAAACGAAUUGAGUGCCUGUUUAAUUUCUACAGUGCCUCAGGGUUUCUACGACAGAGUUGAGGAAGGACGUCUCAAACUCAAGAAAGCUAAGAGUUUUGGAUUUACUAAACAAGGCAUUGUGCUUGAAGGUCAGGAGGCCGAACCCAUUAAAUCUGACUUAGUCAUACUCGCCACAGGCUUCAACGGAAUUGAUAAGCUCAAACACAUUUUUGAAUCACCAAAAUAUCAGCAACUCAUAGCAGGCACAGACGAUUCUGCUGCAGUUCCCCUCUAUAGGGAAUGCAUUCAUCCCCAAAUUCCACAACUGGCAAUUAUUGGAUUCUCAGAAAGCAUAGCAAAUCUAUACACCUCAGAAAUAAGGUGCCGAUGGCUGGCAGAGCUUCUUGAUGGAAAAUUCAAGCUGCCUAGCAUAAAGACGAUGGAGAAAGACAUAGCGGAAUGGGAUAAAUACAAGAAGAGAUACUCAAAGAAGUACUACAGGAAAUCAUGCAUCGGUGCAUUGCAUAUUUGGCACAACGACCAACUCUGCAAGGACAUGGGCUGGAAUCCUAAGAGGAAAAAGGGUCUUUGGGCUGAGUGGUUUGAACCUUACGGACCAAUGGAUUACACAGGCCCAAUAUAAGAUCAGCACCCAACUUCCCCUUCCUGGGCUUUCUCUUUUGUGUUUUUACUUCUUCCUCACCGUUGUUUUACCGUCUAAAAAGUGUAAUUU
Solanum stenotomum is the source of this 1721-nucleotide RNA transcript. It is a transcript of the gene named probable flavin-containing monooxygenase 1, with no coding region annotated. The transcript has 5 exons. Lineage: Eukaryota; Viridiplantae; Streptophyta; Magnoliopsida; Solanales; Solanaceae. The record is from RefSeq and is a predicted model, not a curated record.